AUGGUAGUUCUUGUGUGUAAUCAGGUCCCAAUAAUGCUCCUAUCUGAGAAUGAUCCAAAUGGAGCCCUUAUUAUGAUUGCCACUGGCACACUGUGUUGCUCCCUACCAUGGAUACCUAAGAAUGUAUGUUCAGCGAAGAUCUUAUCAAAUUACAGAGUUUGUGGCCUGUUUUGGCUCUUGGUGUGGUUAAUACCAACAACCUUUUUGAUGAAGAAUUUUCAUCCUAACUUAAGGAGCAUCAUGACAAAUUCAGGUUAUUACUUAUUACUCACAGAAGUAUAUUUCAUAAAAAGGAAAACAUUCAUGAAACAAACCAUUUUAGUCUAUUUUAGCAUUUUCUAUAAUUUAUCUUGUCUUCAUGUAUUUACAGAAAAAUUAUCUUUUUUAUCAUAA
This 393-nucleotide ribosomal RNA is filed under the name Triticum aestivum (bread wheat). RNAcentral describes it as "partial small subunit ribosomal RNA". The record is from RNAcentral. Lineage: Eukaryota; Viridiplantae; Streptophyta; Magnoliopsida; Poales; Poaceae.